AACGGGACCAUACAGAGUGAGGUAGAUUGGGGAGAGGAGAGACUGGAGAACGGGUCCAUACAGAGUGAGGUAGAUUGGGGAGAGGAGAGACUGGAGAAUGGGUCCAUACAGAGUGAGGUAGAUUGGGGAGAGGAGAGACUGGGGAACGGGUCCAUACAGAGUGAGGUAGAUUGGGGAGAGAAGAGACUGGGGAACGGGUCCAUACAGAGUGAGGUAGAUUGGGGAGAGAAGAGACUGGGGAACGG
This is a long non-coding RNA of Oncorhynchus keta (chum salmon), 245 nucleotides long. RefSeq lists it as uncharacterized. Lineage: Eukaryota; Metazoa; Chordata; Actinopteri; Salmoniformes; Salmonidae. The transcript has 3 exons. The record is from RefSeq and is a predicted model, not a curated record.